Culex pipiens pallens (northern house mosquito) is the source of this 1639-nucleotide long non-coding RNA. RefSeq lists it as uncharacterized. The record is from RefSeq and is a predicted model, not a curated record. The transcript has 2 exons. Lineage: Eukaryota; Metazoa; Arthropoda; Insecta; Diptera; Culicidae.
UACUACGACGGCACGAGCAUUUUGUAAUGUUUUUCAACGAUUCGAAAACAAAUUUAAAUGUCAAGGUUAAUUACCGGAAAUCAAUUGCAUUUCAGAGGACCACACCUUACGAAAAUAUUGCAAUCAGAAUUGCGUCAUAAGCUUUUUUAUGUAGUUAUUCAGAUAAUCGUUUAUUGCACAUUGCCUGAUCCAAAUUAAUAAUAAAACACAAUUUCAUUUACAUUUGAUGGCUUCUUUUGUUUAGCAAUUUGAAUUAGAUUUACUGCUAAGCAGUUCCUUUUUUAUACAAUCAUUAUGAAGAAUUUUCAUAUAUCUCUAAAAUUGCUUUAAAAUCGAAAAAGGGCAAACCCAAUGUUGGUCCAUAGAAUCCGUAACAAAAUGCUACAAAAUUAAAUGUAUUAAGAAAAUUCAGAUAUUCAUCCUAAAAUCACAAUUAAAAAUAUAUUUUUUUUAAAAUCCUGAAUUUUUAUUUGUAUCUCCCACACUGGACGACCCCUUCCAUACAAUUCAAAACCCUGUCCUCUAGCGUCAAACGCUGCAAGCUCUUCUCUAGCCGAUCCACAAACCCUCACACCGGAGAUUCCAACCUCACCUCUUCAGUGUCUUAUCACCCUCUCUUCCAUUCCACAGUGUUCACCCCCCAUGCCAAGCGGCAUAACCAAAGAAGGCCUUGGCUGUGUGUAGUCGUGACAACCCAGCCCAGCCAGUCAGCCAUUUCAUCCCGGGGCCGUUCGUUCUCUUCGCCGGGCCAGCCAUGAUCGUAGUGCGCCGUGCUGUGCGGCGUUCGGUCUUUUCUACCAACCAUGAUGGAAAACGGGCGUGUACACCAGCAGCGCCUGCUACGACCACUACCAACGCAAACGAAGCUGUGUACGGACACGCGGCGUGUACGGACGACUAGAAAAAGUCCGCAUUAAUUAUUGAGCACCUUCGGUGCUGGUGUUGGUGCGUCGUUUUGGAACCGGUCCCUAGCUGGAGGAGCCAUGCGCACUGCUGCUCAGUGCUGGUAUCGAUUUGGGCCCGGAACUUGUUCCUGCGUUCGCUGCUGCGUAUAUACAGUGUGUUUGUGUUUGUAUCAUUUUUUGAACUCCAGCCCAAAAAGAAGAAAAGUUUUAUUAGCGUAAUUUGCAUAACAAUUGCUUUUCUCCAAACUGAGGGAAGAGUCCCCCCUUCGAAAAUGCCUCCCCCUGCCCCACCAGUGAAGGUCGUUUUUAGAGCGUCGUCACCAAUCUCCCCGCCCGAAAAUCAUCGUCAUCGUCGUCUUGGCACCCACUGGCGCAAUAUCAUUUGGGUGGGAUCUUCUGAUCAAAAUUAGAAGAUUACGGCGGCGGGGCUUUCCGGGCUCGCAGGCUCCAUCAGAAAUAAAUUAUUCAACGUUUGGCCGGGGCCUUCUGAACCGCUUCCGGGGAGGACUUCUUUACCAAAAUGAGAAAAUAUCGAUCCGGAAAAUCCAACCCCUCCCUCCGAGCCCACCCUCCGGUAGUGUGGUUAAAAGGAAAAUUGUGUAAUCCAGCUCGUCGUAAAUUUCAAUAAAGAUCAUAAAUUACCCUUUGAAUUGAGGCUCUUGGGGACCGGCCGGCCAGCAAACAUAUGAGGCAAAAUUUUCCGAAAUAAAGUAAUACACGUUCGCAUAUAUGAA